RNAcentral lists this ribosomal RNA (300 nucleotides) under uncultured Lactobacillus sp. RNAcentral describes it as "bacterial SSU rRNA". The stretch from base 52 to 300 matches the Rfam family "Bacterial small subunit ribosomal RNA", at positions 547 to 795 of the family's 1533-position model. The record is from RNAcentral. Lineage: Bacteria; Bacillati; Bacillota; Bacilli; Lactobacillales; Lactobacillaceae.
GCGUACUAGGGGCCAGGGGGCGCGGGGAUUGGGAGGGGGGUGGCGUUGUCCGGAAUUAUUGGGCGUAAAGGGCUCGGAGGGGGUUGAUCGCGUUGGAAGUGUAAUCUUGGGGCUUAACCCUGAGCGUGCUUUCGAUACGGGUUGACUUGAGGAAGGUAGGGGAGAAUGGAAUUCCUGGUGGAGCGGUGGAAUGCGCAGAUAUCAGGAGGAACACCAGUGGCGAAGGCGGUUCUCUGGGCCUUUCCUGACGCUGAGGAGCGAAAGCGUGGGGAGCGAACAGGAUUAGAUACCCGGGUAGUC